ACGACCUUACUUGAACAGGAUCUGUUCUAUAGGUUGUACAACUGCCUCCCUGAGUUUCUAAGGAGGCAAGAACCGAAGUCUGGUGGAUGAACCACUGUCCUGCGGCUAGAGCGUGAUUAAUGGCUAAUGGGCUUCGGUCCUGCGGCUGUAGAGGAUCGUUCUUGGCCGACUCAGUUCGACUGGGAUGGUCGCAUGGCGGUCUGACAGACU
Molecule: small nucleolar RNA, 210 nt
Organism: Cucurbita moschata (crookneck pumpkin)
Lineage: Eukaryota; Viridiplantae; Streptophyta; Magnoliopsida; Cucurbitales; Cucurbitaceae
Product: Plant small nucleolar RNA U3
Exons: 1
Source: RefSeq, a predicted model, not a curated record